UUAUUUACCCUGUAGGGGCGAGAUGAUGAUCAAGAAGGUGGUUUACCCAGGGCAAGGCUCGGCCAUCAAACUCGGGUUGUGCUGACCCCUGCGAAUUUCCCAAAUGUAAGAAUCAGGACUGUAUCAUUUCUGACAGUGGUGGACUGCAUUCACACUCUCCCCUG
Molecule: small nuclear RNA, 164 nt
Organism: Trichomycterus rosablanca
Lineage: Eukaryota; Metazoa; Chordata; Actinopteri; Siluriformes; Trichomycteridae
Product: U1 spliceosomal RNA
Exons: 1
Source: RefSeq, a predicted model, not a curated record